CAGAUUUCAAGCUGUAGGAUUGGCUUCUUUCAGCACCUCCAGUUACCCUGUGGUUGGUGUCCCAUUUCUUUGAGAAUGGCCACGCUAGUAUCCACUCCACGGAAGCUCCUGGGCCAGUGGCUGUCCUCCAGAUACUAGCAAGAGCCUAGAGCUGGACCAGGAGCCACCUGCACUACCCUGGCUCCCGAGACAGCAUACCAGGCACCUCAGGAGAUCUUGGCCAGGAGCACAGCCACACAGGUCCGCCAACCAUCCCCCGAUCCGGCCGUGUUUAACUUUCUUUGCCAGUCGUGAUACCCCGUCAGAUUUCUGGCGCUGCCACGCCGCCCGCCUGGGCUCCUUCUGGGCUCUUAUCAGCCUCUCCCAGUCAGUCUGGCCCGCCACAGCUGUUCCAGGCCCUCAGCCCCUCACUUUAUCUGCUCGCACAGACCUCGGCCUGGCAAGCGGUGGGCCCGGCGCCUGCUCCACAUUCCCCAGGAAGCCAGCUGGGAACACAGCCGCCCUGCUCCCGGACCCUCUGAGAGUUCAUUACCAGCCAGGGUACCCCAGCCCGUCAGCCAAGGUGCGGGCCGCGCUGCCGAGCCCGGCCGCCGGAGCCGCCUGCAUCAUUAAAACUCCAACCUUCUGAAGAGAAGAAAGAACAAAACCACAAAUUUAGAUUAAUAAAGCAUUUGUUGAUUCUACAGCAAUUUAGCAGGCCUCUAAGAAACCCACCAGAGACCCGCGGAGCUCCAGUAAUUUUCUGUUAUAUUAUCUUUCUUGUAAAAUACUUCCCCAGACAGAGUCCCCAAAGGGGCUCAAAUAUCACUGUGACUAACCAAAAUCAAUGUGCACUCACCUAUUGACAUUUUUACAUAGUUUUUGGAUUUAGUAUCCAGCCGAAAACACAAUCACCUCCUCUGCCAAGGAGCCGACAGGCACUUAGCUAGUCAGCUAUUAGUGUUACAAAGGGAAAAAUGGAAGCACCCAGGGGAGCUGGGCGAGGCGGCACUGACGUCAGGGGGUAAUUGGGUGUCUGAGAGAAAUUGCCAGCGGCUGGCCGGCUCCCCCGGGGGCCGCACAAAGCUGAGCUGUAACUCUAAUAAAGGAAAGGAAAUUCUAGAAAAGGGGGCUUUGCUACAAAGGAGCCCAGGCAGACGCCAAAAAUAGCCCUUUGGAAAUAAAUAAAUAAAUGCGGCCAAAACAUCUAGAUCUAAAAAAUAAAAUAAAUCACUGCUCCAC
This 1221-nucleotide long non-coding RNA is filed under the name Homo sapiens (human). RNAcentral's name for it is "HSALNT0230695". Lineage: Eukaryota; Metazoa; Chordata; Mammalia; Primates; Hominidae. The record is from RNAcentral.